GCCUCCGUGGCGCAAUCGGCUAGCGCGUUCGGCUGUUAACCGAAAGUUUGGUGGUUCGAGCCCACCCGGGGUCG
Molecule: transfer RNA, 74 nt
Filed under: Trichonephila clavipes
Lineage: Eukaryota; Metazoa; Arthropoda; Arachnida; Araneae; Nephilidae
Rfam family: tRNA
About the family: Transfer RNA (tRNA) molecules are approximately 80 nucleotides in length. Their secondary structure includes four short double-helical elements and three loops (D, anti-codon, and T loops). Further hydrogen bonds mediate the characteristic L-shaped molecular structure. tRNAs have two regions of fundamental functional importance: the anti-codon, which is responsible for specific mRNA codon recognition, and the 3' end, to which the tRNAs corresponding amino acid is attached (by aminoacyl-tRNA synthetases). tRNAs cope with the degeneracy of the genetic code in two manners: having more than one tRNA (with a specific anti-codon) for a particular amino acid; and 'wobble' base-pairing, i.e. permitting non-standard base-pairing at the 3rd anti-codon position.
Source: Rfam by way of RNAcentral